This 459-nucleotide ribosomal RNA is filed under the name uncultured bacterium. RNAcentral's name for it is "partial 16S ribosomal RNA". It matches the Rfam family "Bacterial small subunit ribosomal RNA", at positions 338 to 795 of the family's 1533-position model. The record is from RNAcentral.
CCUACGGGUGGCAGCAGUGAGGAAUAUUGGUCAAUGGACGCAAGUCUGAACCAGCCAUGCCGCGUGCAGGAAGACGGCUCUAUGAGUUGUAAACUGCUUUUGUACGAGGGUAAAUCCCGAUUCGUGUAUCGGGUUGAAAGUAUCGUACGAAUAAGGAUCGGCUAACUCCGUGCCAGCAGCCGCGGUAAUACGGAGGAUUCAAGCGUUAUCCGGAUUUAUUGGGUGUAAAGGGUGCGCAGGCGGAAGAUCAAGUCAGCGGUAAAAUUGCGAGGCUCAACCUCUUCGAGCCGUUGACACUGGUUUUCUUGAGUGAGCGAGAAGUAUGCGGAAUGCGUGGUGUAGCGGUGAAAUGCUUAGAGAUCAUACAGAACACCGAUUGCGAAGGCAGCUUACCAAGCUACUUCUGACGUUGAGGCACGAAAGCGUGGGGAGCAAACAGGAUUAGAUACCCCAGUAGUC